This 253-nucleotide ribosomal RNA is filed under the name uncultured bacterium. RNAcentral describes it as "partial 16S ribosomal RNA". It matches the Rfam family "Bacterial small subunit ribosomal RNA", at positions 524 to 776 of the family's 1533-position model. The record is from RNAcentral.
UACGUAGGGUGCAAGCGUUGUCCGGAAUUAUUGGGCGUAAAGAGCUCGUAGGCGGCCUGUUGCGUCGGCUGUGAAAACCCGGGGCUCAACUCCGGGCCUGCAGCCGAUACGGGCAGACUAGAGUUCGGCAGGGGAGAGUGGAAUUCCUGGUGUAGCGGUGAAAUGCGCAGAUAUCAGGAGGAACACCGGUGGCGAAGGCGGGUCUCUGGGCCGAUACUGACGCUGAGGAGCGAAAGCGUGGGGAGCGAACAGG